Molecule: long non-coding RNA, 2377 nt
Organism: Gouania willdenowi (blunt-snouted clingfish)
Lineage: Eukaryota; Metazoa; Chordata; Actinopteri; Blenniiformes; Gobiesocidae
Product: proteoglycan 4-like
Source: Ensembl
CACGCACACACACACACACACACACACACACACACACACACACACACACACACACACACACACACACACACACACACACACACACACACACACACACACACACACACACACAGAAACAUGUCUUCAAUGACAAAAAAAUGUGAUUGAUUGUAGAUCAAAGCAACCUUCUUAAAGAAUAGCAACCCUCCAUUCUGCUGCUAAUCACAAACUGAUUGAUUAUGUCAGGAAACCUUCAGUGAUGUCCGAGAGGAGAUUAACAUGAGCUAAUCACAUGCUUUAACCAAAGAGCAACAAUUCAUCUGUGAGAGGGAAUACAAUCCAUCACCUAAAAACCAGUCCCGCCCACUAAGGACACACACACACAUAUAUAUAACAGGACUGUCAACAACAGUCUGUGUCAACAUUUGAACAAGAGAAGCACGUAAAACCCUCGACUUCUGUUUUUUAAAUCAAAAUUAUAUUUCUCUUGAUUUUUGGAGUUUAAAGGUUUUUUAAAUUGGAGGAACAAUGGGAAACGAGAACUCGAAAAACGAAGACCAAACCGAGGAUGUGAAUAUUUCAGAGAAGCAUCAGAACGGAUCAGUGAGCGGCAGCGUCACGCUGAACGGCGGGCCGGAAAUCGACGGUAAAGAUCCAGCUGUGGUCAAACAGAACGAAGAACCCGUGACUUUAAACCUCGCCAUCGACUCAACUGAAUGUGUGGUCAUCGACUCAGAGGCCCCGCCCAACACUGCUCCAGUCUCGUCUGAAAUCUCCGCCCCUCCUGAAACACCAGAGGUCACCAAGGAGCUCCUCGUUAGUGUCCAGGUUCCCCCACAAACCCCCGAUCCCCCCAAACAGAAGGAGGAAGUCCCAAAGAAAAAGUUUUUUGGUAAAAUGUUCAAAAAGAAAGUGGAAGCAGUAGUAGACGAGCCGAGUGUGGAGGAAACGACCAUCAGUGGAGACCAGGUGGAUGCUGGUCAGACCAUCAUUACCACACAACCAGAGGCUAGAGACCCCCACCAGGACCCCUCUCAGCCACCAACGGGACCAGUAGUCAGUGUGAUUUUUAACGGGGGUCCAGACCUUCAAAGUUCUCCUGAAGUCGACAUUGGAACCAGUGUCACAGAGGAGGGGCCGGAGAAGAGAGAGGAAGAGGAGAGAAACCAAGAGGAAAAACCACCAGUUAUGAACUUCUUUAAAUCUCUGGUGAAUAACACAAAAACAUCCAAAAAGGAAACAGCCACCCCUGAUGUAGCAAAAGAUCAGUCCCAGAAGGAGAGCCAAGCAGCACCAACAACCACCGUUGCAGAGGUAUCCGAGCCGCCCACACCACCCAAAGGAAUGUCAAUCCCUCCACCACCUCCACCAGCUCCACCAAAGCUGGAAAUCAAAGAACCAGCGGCUAAAUGUUUGAAACCAACAACCAAAGAAGAACCAACUGCUGCGAAGAAACCAGAGUCCUCGCCUGGAAAAUCAGCUUUGAGCAAAUUCUUCCGUCCAAAGACCAUCAAAGAGGCCCCGCAGCCAGAGGUAGAGGUUACACCAGUAAUAGAGGAAACACCAGUGGAGGUGUCUGAGCCUGUGUUAGCGGUGCAGCAGAGCGACGAUAAGCUCCAUCUUCAGGAGGAGACAGCCGAGGAAAUACUUGUAACCCUGGAGCAGGUGGUUGAAGAUGUGCAGACGAUGAUUGAAGAUGAGAAGGUGGACCCUCCCAAAGCUGGCACUGUGGAGGCUGCAACGAAACCAGAACCGCCAGCAGCGGGUCAGGAAGAGAAGAAGACUGGCUCCAAAUUAGGCUUCAAGUCCCUCUUCAAGUCCAAACUCUGGAUUGGACUGGAGCACUUUCCGGGGUGUUCCAUCCCUCCUCCCCAAGUCAAGCUCUCAUUCCAUGGUGCGUCACCAAAGACAGCGUCUCCGACCCCCCCCACCUCACCAGCAGCACCAGCAGCUCCAGUUAAACCCAAGGAUGAAACCAAGUCUGCAGACACGGCUGCUGAUAGCAAAGCUGCGGCUGGGGCUGCUUCAGCGGCCGGAGACGACGCAGCCAAGGGCCUGAAAAAAGUGGAGAAGAGGAACUCCAUCACAGGGUUCUUUAAAAACCUGGUGAAGUGAAGGUUCAGAAACAUUCAGACUCCGGGGGUCAGACGGAGUAAACGCCCGCGGAGAAAACAAAAUUAAAAAAAACCAUCGCCACCAAACCCUCAAGCUUCAACGUACUCAACUCUACAAUUCCUCUGCACUCUACACUAUAUCUGCUCGGAUCAUGAAGAAAAAAGCUAUUUAAUGUAAAAUGUAAAACUGCAAACACAAGUUUUUGAUUAGAAACGCAUGAAGAGGUAAAAAGUGUCUUCUGUUAGUUUUAUAAUACAAUAAACUGGGCUUGUGGUUGUAAACA